AGUGAACGCUGGCGGUAGGCCUAACACAUGCAAGUCGAACGGCAGCACAGUAAGAGCUUGCUCUUACGGGUGGCGAGUGGCGGACGGGUGAGGAAUACAUCGGAAUCUACUUUUUCGUGGGGGAUAACGUAGGGAAACUUACGCUAAUACCGCAUACGACCUACGGGUGAAAGCAGGGGAUCUUCGGACCUUGCGCGAUUGAAUGAGCCGAUGUCGGAUUAGCUAGUUGGCGGGGUAAAGGCCCACCAAGGCGACGAUCCGUAGCUGGUCUGAGAGGAUGAUCAGCCACACUGGAACUGAGACACGGUCCAGAAUCCUAAGGGAGGCAGCAGUGGGGAAUAUUGGACAAUGGGCGCAAGCCUGAUCCAGCCAUACCGCGUGGGUGAAGAAGGCCUUCGGGGUGUAAAGCCCUUUUGUUGGGAAAGAAAAGCAGCAGGUUAAUACCCCGCUGUUCUGACGGUACCCAAAGAAUAAGCACCGGCUAACUUCGUG
RNAcentral lists this ribosomal RNA (492 nucleotides) under uncultured bacterium. RNAcentral's name for it is "partial 16S ribosomal RNA". It matches the Rfam family "Bacterial small subunit ribosomal RNA", at positions 29 to 507 of the family's 1533-position model. The record is from RNAcentral.